Molecule: long non-coding RNA, 399 nt
Organism: Quercus robur (English oak)
Lineage: Eukaryota; Viridiplantae; Streptophyta; Magnoliopsida; Fagales; Fagaceae
Exons: 3
Source: RefSeq, a predicted model, not a curated record
CCCCCUGUCAGGUUGUAGAAGACAUCAUUCAAGCUAAAAUUAUGACAGUCUGGUCACUAGACCUCCUACACCAGCAAUUCUGCUCAAUAUGCUAAGAAAAAUGGUCUUACUCAGAAAAAGAGGAUGCUGGCAAUUCUGGGAGUUUCUGUUGCUAUAAUGUUUCUUCUUAUAGUCUCAGUUGUGUAUUGUUUUGUAAUGAAGAAGAAAAAAGAGAAGAGGCAUAGCACAUAUUCAUAUAGUGCUAACUCCACUUUACAAUACUUCGAAGACUCUCCAAGAGGAAGGGACCUCGAUGGAGCUAGAAGAAAUUCAAAUUUGCCAUUAUUUGAUCUAGGAACCAUUGUUGCAGCUACAGAUAACUUCUCUAUUGCUAACAAGCAUGGCCAAGGUGGUUUUGGC